UGACGUCAGCGGUGGGUUUGAUGACGUCACUGACUGCAGCAGGGGCCGUGGGCGGGGCUCUGGUGAUGGCGGAAGCGGCCACAGGGCCAGGGGACGCCCGGGUGACGUCAGCAGCGGCCAUCUUGGUGACGUCAGCAGCGGCCGUGGGGGGUGCUCUGGGGACAGCGGCGUUGGCCACGGCGGGGGCGGGUGACGCGGUGGUGACGUCACCGGUUGCCAUGGGUGACGCGCGGGUGACAUCAGCAGUGACGGCAGGUGACACGGGUGUGAUGUCAGCGGUUACCGGGGUAGAGACACAAGUGACGUCACCGGUUGCCAUGGGAGAUGUGCGAGUGACAUCACCGGUUGCCAUGGGGGAUACCCGAGUGACGUCACCGGUUGCCAUGGGAGACGUGCGAGUGACGUCACUGGUUACCGGGGUAGUGACCCGUGUGACGUCAUUGGUUGCCAUUGGUGACAGGCGAAUGACGUCACUGGUUGCUAUGGGAGACGCCCGAGUGACGUCACCAGUUACUGGGGUAGUCACCCGAGUGACGUCAUUGGUUGCCACGGGCGACGCCCGAGUGACGUCACUGGUUACCGGGGUAGUGACCCGCGUGACGUCACCGGUUGCCAUGGGCGACGCCCUUGUGACAUUACCGGUUGCCGGGGUAGACACCCGCGUGACAUCAGCGGUUGCCACGGGCGACGCCCGCGUGACGUCACCCCUCCAGGCCCCGCCCCCGCCCCCCUUGGGCCCCAGGGAGAGGGGGGAGGCGGCGACGGGGACGGGGGAGGCGGGGAGGGGCCGGGGGGCGGGGGGGGGCCGCAGGGCGGAGGCGGCCACGGGGGACGAGGGCAGCCCCAGCAGCUUGGCGGCCGCCAGCGCCCGCGGCAGCCCCGGGGGGGGCGGGGGGGGCGCCCCCAGCNGGGUUUGGGGUCCGGGGAGGGUCUGGGGGGGUCCGCGGGGGGCCUGGGGGGGGUCUUGGGGGGCGCCGGGGGGGUGACGGUGACCACGGGCAUGGCCUUGGGCAGGGCGGGGGGGGCGGGCACGGCGCGGGGGAGGGCGGGGGAGGCCGAUUUGAGGAGGUUGGGGGGCACCGCUGACGUCACGGGUGAUGCCAUGGGUGACGUCAUCACUGAGGUCACGGCGGUGGUGGUGGCGUCGCUGGGCGCGGCCUCGGCGGCCAUCUUGGGUGCUGGCGGCGGCGCCGGUUUGGUGUCGGCGGCCAUCUUGGGUGCCGGUUGGGCGUCGGCGGCCAUCUUGGGUGCUGGCAUUGGCAUCGGUUGGGUGUCGGCGGCCAUCUUGGGUGCUGGCGGCGGUGCCGGUUGGGUGUCGGCGGCCAUCUUGGAUGUUGGCGGCGGUGUCACCGGUGCCGGUUUGGUGUCAGCGGCCAUCUUGGGUGCUGGCGGCGGCGUUGGUUUGGCGUCGGCAGCCAUCUUGGGCACCGGUUGGGCAUCGGCGGCCAUCUUGGGUGCUGGCUGGGUGUCGGCGGCUAUCUUGGGUGCUGGCGGCGGCGUCACCGGGGCCGGUUGGGUGUCGGCGGCCAUCUUGGGUGCCGGUUGCGGUGUUGGUUUGGUGUCGGCGGCCAUCUUGGGAGCCGGUUUGGUGUCGGCGGCCAUCUUUGGUGCUGGCGGCGGUGCCAGUUUGGCCUCGGUGGCCAUCUUGGGUGCUGGCUGGGUGUCGGCGGCCAUCUUGGGCGCUGGCGGCGGUGUCACCGGGGCCGGUUUGGCGUCGGCAGCCAUCUUGGGAGCCGGUUUGGUGUCGGCGGCCAUCUUUGGUGCUGGCGGCGGCGCCGGCUUCGCCUCGGCGGCCAUCUUGGGGGCUUCAGGCACCGCUCUGGGGGUCACCGGUGUCGC
This is a long non-coding RNA of Cairina moschata (Muscovy duck), 1839 nucleotides long. The record is from Ensembl. Lineage: Eukaryota; Metazoa; Chordata; Aves; Anseriformes; Anatidae.